CUGGCAAACGAGGUCCAAACUGGGAGCAAAAGGACGGUAUGAAACACAGCCAGUCAGCUCUAGAGGGUUCAGAGAAAAAGAGAAGGAACAAUAUAUAAUAUGUAUUUAUGUAGUGUUAUAUUAUUAUUUAUUAUAUAUAUUAUAUGAUAUAUAACUUUCUUGAAAAUAAAUGACUAUUUACUUUACCAGAUUAAAAUAAAGCAAAUUAAAAGAAAUGGACACAAAUCAAUGUAACUCAUCAUAGCAACAGACUGAAUAAGAAAAAGCACAUGAUUAUGUCACCAGACGCAGAAAAGCAUUUCACGAAAUUCAACACCCAUUCGUGAUAAAGUCUCUCAAAAUAUGAACAAUCGAAGGGAACUUCCUGACCCCGUAAAGGGUUCACAUGAAAGACCCACAGCCAACAUCACACUCGUCGGUGAGAGGCUGACACCUUGCGCUCUGAGAGUGGGAACAGGGCAAGGACAUCCUCUGUCACCACUCGCCUUCUGUCCUACGGAGUGCAAUUAGAUCAGAAGAAGAAAUAAGUGGCACGUGAUUGGAAAGGAAGAGAUAAAACUGUCUUUGUUCACAGACGACACCCAGCAGCGGAGGUGUGUCUAGAGAGAGAGGUGACUUCAAGGGUUGACUUACGCAGUUGUGGGGGCUGGUCCCGGCCACACCUGCAGGGUGGGCGGGCAAACUGGAGACCCAGGGGAGCGCCGACGGUGCAGCCUGGAGCCCCAGGGCCGCCCGGAGGAGAAUCCCUCCGCUGGGGAUGGUCAGUCCUUUCCAUCAAGGUCUUCACCUGACUGGAUGAAGUCCACGCAUCAGUAAUCUGAUUACAGAGGCUGAUGGGCUCUACUCAAAGGCUGCUGACUCAAACGUUAAUCUGCCUAAAGAAUAUCUUCACAGAAAAGGGAACGCUUGUGCGCUGCUGGUGGGAAUAUAAAUUGGUACAGUCAUUAUGGGAAGUAGUUUAGAGGUUACUCAAAAAAUUAAAAAUAGAACUACGAUAGGAUCGAGCAUUCCCACUUCUGGGUAUAUAUUCAAGGGAAUGGAAACCCUCUCACAGAGAGACCUGUGUGCCAGGUUCACUGAGCCUUAUUCACAGCAGCAAAGACAGGGAAACAGCCGGAAUGUCCAUCACAGAUGAAUGCACAUACGUAUACGUAUCUCAUUUUCUUAAUUUUUCAACAAAAAAAAGAAGGAAAUCCUGCCAUUCACAACAACAUGGAUGGGCCUGGAGGACACUACGCUGAGUGAAAUAAGUCAGACACAGAAAGACAAACAGUGCAUCAUCUCACUUAUAUGUGGGUCUGAAAAGAUGGAACCAGGAGUAGAAUGGGGUUUGUCAGGGGCUGCAGGUGGAGAGACGGGAGAAGCUGGUCAAGGGUACAAGCUUCCAGUCACAAGAGCUAAAGCCAGGGACAUCUGUGAAGGAACAGACAGGACGAGGGGCAGCCACAGUGCAGCCUCGUGGCUUUGCUGCAUCCUGGGACCCAGAGAUGCGGCUCCGCAGCUCGCAGGCCCGUGACUGCGCGUGCUCGGGGAGAACAAUGGACUCCU
Long non-coding RNA from Equus caballus (horse), 1548 nucleotides. The record is from Ensembl. Lineage: Eukaryota; Metazoa; Chordata; Mammalia; Perissodactyla; Equidae.